This 253-nucleotide ribosomal RNA is filed under the name uncultured bacterium. RNAcentral describes it as "partial 16S ribosomal RNA". It matches the Rfam family "Bacterial small subunit ribosomal RNA", at positions 524 to 776 of the family's 1533-position model. The record is from RNAcentral.
GACGUAGGGCGCAAGCGUUGUCCGGAUUUAUUGGGCGUAAAGAGCUCGUAGGCGGCUUGUUGCGUCGACCGUGAAAACCCGUGGCUCAACUGCGGGCUUGCGGUCGAUACGGGCGGGCUAGAGUUCGGUAGGGGAGACUGGAAUUCCUGGUGUAGCGGUGAAAUGCGUAGAUAUCGGGAGGAACACCAGUGGCGAAGGCGACUACCUGGCCUGUUCUUGACGCUGAGGCGCGAAAGCUAGGGGAGCAAGCGGG